UCGAGCGGACAGAUGGGAGCUUGCUCCCUGAUGUUAGCGGCGGACGGGUGAGUAACACGUGGGUAACCUGCCUGUAAGACUGGGAUAACUCCGGGAAACCGGGGCUAAUACCGGAUGCUUGUUUGAACCGCAUGGUUCAAACAUAAAAGGUGGCUUCGGCUACCACUUACAGAUGGACCCGCGGCGCAUUAGCUAGUUGGUGAGGUAACGGCUCACCAAGGCAACGAUGCGUAGCCGACCUGAGAGGGUGAUCGGCCACACUGGGACUGAGACACGGCCCAGACUCCUACGGGAGGCAGCAGUAGGGAAUCUUCCGCAAUGGACGAAAGUCUGACGGAGCAACGCCGCGUGAGUGAUGAAGGUUUUCGGAUCGUAAAGCUCUGUUGUUAGGGAAGAACAAGUACCGUUCGAAUAGGGCGGUACCUUGACGGUACCUAACCAGAAAGCCACGGCUAACUACGUGCCAGCAGCCGCGGUAAUACGUAGGUGGCAAGCGUUGUCCGGAAUUAUUGGGCGUAAAGGGCUCGCAGGCGGUUUCUUAAGUCUGAUGUGAAAGCCCCCGGCUCAACCGGGGAGGGUCAUUGGAAACUGGGGAACUUGAGUGCAGAAGAGGAGAGUGGAAUUCCACGUGUAGCGGUGAAAUGCGUAGAGAUGUGGAGGAACACCAGUGGCGAAGGCGACUCUCUGGUCUGUAACUGACGCUGAGGAGCGAAAGCGUGGGGAGCGAACAGGAUUAGAUACCCUGGUAGUCCACGCCGUAAACGAUGAGUGCUAAGUGUUAGGGGUUUCCGCCCCUUAGUGCUGCAGCUAACGCAUUAAGCACUCCGCCUGGGGAGUACG
This 840-nucleotide ribosomal RNA is filed under the name Bacillus sp. (in: firmicutes). RNAcentral describes it as "bacterial SSU rRNA". It matches the Rfam family "Bacterial small subunit ribosomal RNA", at positions 62 to 884 of the family's 1533-position model. The record is from RNAcentral. Lineage: Bacteria; Bacillati; Bacillota; Bacilli; Caryophanales; Bacillaceae.